Tympanuchus pallidicinctus (lesser prairie-chicken) is the source of this 5327-nucleotide long non-coding RNA. RefSeq lists it as uncharacterized. NCBI's taxonomy places the organism in Eukaryota, Metazoa, Chordata, Aves, Galliformes, Phasianidae. The record is from RefSeq and is a predicted model, not a curated record. The transcript has 11 exons.
GUGUGUGCGCGUGCGGCCGUGUGCCGCUCCGCGUGCGCGCGCGGUGCCAUCCUCAACAAGUUGCAGGAGGGGAAGGGAGAGGAGGGGUUAAUCCCGGGGAAUCUUCUGCACCUAGCGAGAUCGUGACCCUCCCACACAGUACAGUAACUUAUAUACAUACCUGGAGGAAGGGACGCUUCGCUUUUGGGCUUUCUAAAAAAAAAAACAACAACAACCCAAAAAACCAAAAAAAAACAAACAGUGCUUGGUGAUCGGGCACGCGGCGCGGGACCGCCGAAGCGGCCGGGAGGCAGCGCCAGGUGUGGCCGUGCCGUCGGGGCCGAGGAAGCCGUGGCGCCGCGGGAACAGCAGCCCGCACCAGGUAGUCAAGCUUCCUAAUUUGUAGAAGAGAGUUGCAAAAGUCAUUCCUGUGAAAAUCUGAAUCCCCACUUAAAAGAUUUAAGAAGCCAGAAAAAGACAUGAAUUAGCAGAGUGGCACGUAGGCUUUAAAAAAUCUGCCUGCUGUUGGUCCUUAGACUCGCCCUCCACAGAGCAGCGCUCUUCAUUCACCCACCUUACGUUUACAGGAACAUCUGCUGGGAAAAUAUGUUGCAGCACAGGUGUUCUGAUCUGCAAAAGACCACAGUUUAACCCCCCAAAUCGUGUAACACCACUGAAUACUACAAUAGAAACCCACAGGAUUGAUUUCCUGAAGACAGGAUGUCCCUAUUAACUCUCACCAGGAAGAAGAGAGAAAGGAACUUCCCAGGUGUGUCUUGCAUACCUUAGCACCAGAGCUAACAGAGCUGUUUUACCAGACUACACUUUCUUACAGGUCCCUUCAAGGUAUUGCAGGCUGCAGAGCUGUCCCUGUGUGGAAACUAGAAGCUCUUUAUCUUCAGAUGCUGAUAACCUUGCUGAUUCUUUACAUGCAGGAACGUGGUGCAGCCUCUGCUUCGGACAGGAGGAUGUUCGUCCCAGGAGAAGGAGCAUCAGUUCUCAGACGGUAGUAUGUGAGCUGCAGAUAGAAACUUGAGGCUUACAGGGCAGAAAUGUGACUGAACUAAAUCUAUGAGUAUGGAAUGAAACGUGCUUGGUCAUUAUUGAAACUGGAUUCCUGAAACGUUUUUCUUUUAUCAUAAGUUUGAUUUUUCUGAAGAAAAAUACAGCUGUCCAUAGCAUAUGCUUUCUCUUCUCUUGACCUUUUUGAAUUAGAGGGAAGUUGUUGUCUUUCCCACUGUAAUGCUGGGAACACAGUACAGGGGCUACAGCAAAGGAAGGUUUUCUGACUUGAUGUGCUCAGAUCAUCCUACAAGGCAUUCCACUGCAAAAGGAGGGACUUUCAUUGGUGUCACUACUUACUGUCCUCCUCUUGUGUUGAUGUUUCCAGGGGGAUAGUGUUUCUUACCCCCUGAAUAGGUGGCCUUCUGCAUGGGAGCAUUAUUACGGUGUCUUUUGUCUUUUAUAUAGCUUACUUCCUCAUACUCCAAGAAUGAAAAAACAGUCGAAGGAGAGAGGAAAUGAUAGGGUAGCUCCCUUAGAAGAGCCUCUCCUAGGAAAAAAUAGCUCAGAACCCCUAAAAUGAUCAUACAGUUGGUACAAAAGCUGCUGGUUGUUGUUGUUAUAGCAGCAUCUACAGGAAUAGAAAUAGCAAGAAGAGAAAUAGAAAGGCUGGCAUUCCCUCGCUUUCCAACUUGUGAAAAUUUUAGGAAGGAAAUUUACAUAUUUUGGAGCUACUAUUUCUGCAGUGCCUUCUUAUGCAGAAGCUUACCUCGAAAUUUAAUCAGGCUGUCCUAAUAGGUGAAAAUACUAUCUGUACUCAUUUAAGAGUGGGGGUGGUCGUUUCUGUCUCAGGUGUUUCUGUGGGAGGAGUUCAAAUGAUUGCCACCAUUCUUAACUGUUGUUAAGGGAGAUGGCAGUUUGAUUUAAGCUAUGAAGGUGUAAUGAGUUUUGCUCUCCCACCAUCUUGCACAAAGAAGCACUCAGAGAGGACAGACUUAAGCAGUUUGAGCCAGGCAGUGAUCUGCUACCAUAAAUUCCCCAGCAUUGUAUUGCCCUUUGAUGCUUCAGUUACAGUCCAUGAAUGGAAGACUGGAACACGUGGAUGACUUUUUGGCAUCUGAAGCUGCCGAGUUGCCUGCUUGUGAUGUUGGAGAAAGGAUCUCCUCCUGUUCCAGACCCCACAUUUAUCUGCCUCUUAAGGAUGUGCAACAGAUUUUCUCUUCUGUCCCUAUUAGUGCCGUAGUUAAUUCUGUGCCCUGCUGUUUCCUCACAUCUAACCAUGAGAGACACAUCUUGCUUUAUGGGCAUUCUUUGAAGCAUAAUUCAUGGUUGUGAAAUACCGGCAGUGGCCAAGACAGAAAACCUUCUCAGAUUCUGGAGGGGCAUCCAGUGUGUGAAUGUUUAAGGAAGCACUAAAGGAACAAGGGCUUUUCUAAAGGAUCUGAUGACAAAGCUAUUCCACUUGAAUAUAGGAAAAGGGUAGUAGUUCUGUGGGAGAGAUGAAGCGCUGUGUGAUUCCUGCCCCAAAGAUAGGAUCCAGCUGGUGCUAGGCAGAGUCUGUCAAUGACAGCAGUUGGAUUGGGUGGAGGUGGGUGGAGGGCUUGGGCACAGUUUCACACUCAAUACACUCCACAAAAGGAUUCAGUGGAAGAGGGAUGAGAGUGGUGAAAAGGUGGUCAUAGAUGAGGAGAAAAAGGUUUCUUACCAAACGUAGUCCACCAUCUGGGUCUGAAAGUGACUUCAUCAUGCAAGAUGACACUGCGUGCUGGUAGUGGCAUGAGGAACACACAUUCCUGAACUUUGUUCAUUUUAUAUGGACAAAUAUCUGUAUCCCUUAUCUACAGUUACAAAACUAGAUAGCAGAGACAUCAAGGAUUAAACAAUGAGAACACAAUAUUUUGUUUCCACAGAUGAUAUUUUCAGCUCAAAAUCAAUACAUUUCAAUGGGCUGUAGGAUUGAGAAAGGUUAAUCUUCUAUUGCUUCAGCCCGUACUGUGUGUCUUUGCUGAAGAUGUUCUGUGCUUGGAUUUCUGCAGCAUGCACAACUAUUAGGGUUGUUUUGAAGAAAUACUUGCUUGAUUUUUAGCGCUGUUGGUGAUUGAAAAAACAAACCACCAAACUUUCAUAUGUAUGUUUUACUCAAAGUUUUUCCAGUUUUGCAUGAGGAGUGGAUCUGGAGCCUCGUAAUAAUCUCAUUGUAAUAAUUUAUGAGAACUCUGAACAGGGAAUGGAAAAAAAAUAAAGGAAUUAUGAGGUUUAGCAAGAGACAGCAGAGCUCACUUGCUAACUAGGGUGGGAAGAAGUAAAAAAUCCCUAUAUAAAGUACUAGAAGUUUAUAGUGCUGUUAAUGUUGUUUCUUGUUCUAUUUAAAAAGAAAUGGAGUGGACCUAUUUAUAAAGAUCAGUGUUUACCUGUAUGAUGAAUUACAAGCUGUAGACUUGACUAGUUAAUAUGCAAACAACUGUCUUGCUUUCAUUUCUGAUCAGCGUCCAUUGGUACGUUUAUCUGGCGUGAUUAGUUGUUGAGAAAUAUGGGACUUUAAUCCCUAAAGCAUGAGGGUGUGCUGAUGAUGCCUCCAUUUCUUUUAAGAAACAAGAAGAUAUGUGCAAUUGUAGCACAGUGUGGUAACCUAAGAAGCCUCAAUGAUUUAGUUUGAAAGACUUGUGUUUCAGGCUUGUGUUUAAAGGUUCCUGUCCUGAUAGAAGCUAUAGUCAAAGGUGUGAAAAUGCAGGAUUAGAGAAACGUUCCAAUGAGAAAUUGUGCCUGUUUGCUGGUACAGGUGCUUUCAGGAAGGGAAGGGAAUACUGAUUUUUUGAGUUCUUUUUGCAUGAGCCCUGUAAAAGGGAUGGAGGAGGUGCCUAAGAAAAGUCUCAGGACUGGGAAUCCCAAGCAAGUUAGCUUACUUCAACCUGGAGCUGGGAUCCAUGUAUGAAGAGUCCUGAGAAAUGUAUUGAACUGUCCAUCUGAUUCCUGUAAAGAGUUUUUCACUUUAACUAGGCUUGUCAGAUCCCAUUCUUAUAUGCUCUUCUGCAUUAUACACUGAGGCAGGGUGUCUAAUUUGGAGCCUUGGAUUUGGGCAGAGAAAAAGUGUAGGGCUCAGUGGUGCAGUAGCCGGGCCCUGUACUGGAUCUGGCCUCACUGCAGUGUGUGUGAGUAAUGGUAACGGAGUCAUAAGAACAGAAUGACUGUACAGGGGAGAGAGCUGCACUUGACUUGCUAGGGUGAAAAACAUAUUUGUAAAGGGAUUCAAUUAGUGUUGGGUACAAGAAUGCCACUUAGUGAAACAAGCGACUGUACCUCUUUUUCAGCGGCAGAGAAAAGUGACACAUCCUGGAUAACCAGCAGUCCCCGUUCCUAUUCUCAGUGUCCCUGCAGAGCUGAUGGCACCGCGGGCUGGUUGAGCCACCUUCCAUGUGAUGGAGCAAUGUAGCUAAGCUGUAGGUUGCCUUACACUUGCAACACUGCAACCCCAAGGGAGAUUGCAUCUGCAGAGAUCUGCCUUCAUGCCUGGAUUGAUAAGUGACGCUGGGGAAGCAUCUUGGCAAGAUGCUGCUGCAGUAUCCUGUCUCCUCAUCACGUCGCCCUCUGGAAGACAGAAGUGACGAUCAGCGGCGUGCUGCUGUCCUGCAGGCAGUGAAGAACUGCUUUGACAGCUAGCAGGAGAAAACUAUGCAAUGUAAUCACAGCCUGUCUGUGCUCUUUCUAACAAUGUAUGGUAGCACCCUAUUACCAGUGAGGGGAUGCUGUGUCCUCCCUCUGAUGAUCUGUAUUCUUCUCCGUUACUGUAACUAAGCUGUUUCUUUCCCACAGCCAUGUGUUCCUGCAGAAAUAGCAAGGAUACCCCACGCAGAUUAAGGUUUACAAAUUCAGGAGGGGCUUGGACAGAGCAAAAGGAGAAUGAAGUAAUUCCAAAAUAUUUGUACUCCAGCUGAUAAAACUAGCAGGAGAGCUAAUGUUGUGUGGGGUUUGCUGUAGGGUAGAAGGAAACCUGGGGACAAACUGUCUCCUCUUAGACCUGCUAUAAGUGCUGUAUGAUAAAGGUGAAUUUCCAAACUUAGCCAUAAAGCUGCAGGUCAGCCAGCAGGACAGCGGCUUGUCCCAGUUCCCACUGCAGGCUGUAUAGAAGCUGCGUGUUGGAUCCGAUGGGGUUUGAAUCCUACCACAAAAACAAUGGCUGUUCUCAAGGUCGGGAGCACAGCUUUCUGUUAUGUGGUUUUGAAUGGAAGAAUUAUUGUGUAUCUAUUUAUGUAAAAUGGAAAAUGUAAAAAAAAAAACAUGUAUAUAUAUAUAUAUAUAUAUAUAUAUAUAUACACACUUUUCUUUAAUAAAUCUACGAAACGAGUCAA